Molecule: unclassified non-coding RNA, 301 nt
Organism: Erinaceus europaeus (western European hedgehog)
Lineage: Eukaryota; Metazoa; Chordata; Mammalia; Eulipotyphla; Erinaceidae
Gene: 7SK
Rfam family: 7SK RNA
About the family: 7SK was discovered as an abundant small nuclear RNA in the mid-70s but a possible function has only recently been suggested. Two independent studies have found that 7SK RNA binds the CDK9/cyclin T complex (known as elongation factor P-TEFb). P-TEFb activates transcription by phosphorylating the C-terminal domain of RNA polymerase II.
Source: Ensembl
AGAUGUGAGGGCGAUCUGGCUGAGACAUCUGUCACCCCAUUGAUCGCCAGGGUUGAUUCGGCUGGCUAGGCGAGUGUCCCCUUCCUCCCUCACCACUCCAUGUGUGUCCUUCCCAAAGCUGACCGCUGGGUCCGAAGAAGAUGGCCUUCCCCGAAUAGAGACGGACCGGUCUUCAGGGUAUAUGAGUAGCUGCGCUCCCCUGCUAGAACCUCCAAAAGAGCUCUCAAGGUCUAUUUUUAUAUAAGUAUAUCUUAGCAUGUGAGCUGAAUGAUAGUCUGAACUUAAUUUGAGAGAGAGGUCA